Molecule: ribosomal RNA, 482 nt
Filed under: uncultured bacterium
Lineage: Bacteria
Description: partial 16S ribosomal RNA
Rfam family: Bacterial small subunit ribosomal RNA
Source: RNAcentral
AUUGAACGCUGGCGGCAUGCCUUACACAUGCAAGUCGAACGGUAACAGGUCUUCGAAUGCUGACGAGUGGCGAACGGGUGAGUAAUACAUCGGAACGUGCCCAGACGUGGGGGAUAACGAGGCGAAAGCUUUGCUAAUACCGCAUACGAUCUAAGGAUGAAAGCAGGGGACCGCAAGGCCUUGCGCGUUUGGAGCGGCCGAUGGCAGAUUAGGUAGUUGGUGGGAUAAAAGCUUACCAAGCCGACGAUCUGUAGCUGGUCUGAGAGGACGACCAGCCACACUGGGACUGAGACACGGCCCAGACUCCUACGGGAGGCAGCAGUGGGGAAUUUUGGACAAUGGGCGAAAGCCUGAUCCAGCAAUGCCGCGUGCAGGAUGAAGGCCUUCGGGUUGUAAACUGCUUUUGUACGGAACGAAAAGGCUCUGGCUAAUACCUGGGGCACAUGACGGUACCGUAAGAAUAAGCACCGGCUAACUACGUG